GAUGAAGAACGUAGCGAAAUGCGAUACGUAAUGUGAAUUGCAGAAUUCAGUGAAUCAUCGAAUCUUUGAACGCACCUUGCGCUCCUUGGUAUUCCGAGGAGCAUGCCUGUUUGAGUGUCAUGAAAUUCUCAACCUUUUCAGCUUUCUUUGUUGAUCAGGCUUGGAUGUGGGAGUAUGCGGGCUUCUCAGAAGUCGGCUCUCCUGAAAUGCAUUAGCGGGACCUUUGUUGCCUGGCUUUGGUGUGAUAAUUAUCUACGCCAUUGUAGUCAAGCAGCUUAAAAUGAGGUUUCAGCUUCUAACCGUCUCCCCUGAGACAACUUUUUGACAAUUUGACCUCAAAUCAGGUAGGACUACCCGCUGAACUUAAGCAUAUCAAUAAGCGGAGGA
Molecule: unclassified non-coding RNA, 387 nt
Filed under: soil metagenome
Description: partial contains 5.8S ribosomal RNA, internal transcribed spacer 2, and large subunit ribosomal RNA
Rfam family: 5.8S ribosomal RNA (bases 1-120)
Source: RNAcentral